UAAUUGUGGUAAAAUUAAACUUUAUUUUUUAUAUUUUUCUUUUUUUGGUAGAAUGAGAAAGGUUUUAUAUUUUUUUGUUUAAUUUGUAAGAUUUAAUAAGCGAACCAGAUUAGUACCUGGUUAGAUAAAAUUUAAAAGUGCAGGAGUAAAGUUAUAUUUAAACUGUAAAGAUAUUGGCAGGUCUCUUAAAUUAUCUUUGGAGGUUGGGUAAUAAUUGAGAACCCUCAUUUUCAGCUUUUUUUUUUGGCGCAUGUAUGAUCGUUUAUUUUAUUCUUAAAGAUUGUAAUUAGAAAUAAUUCUUUAAAAAAAUAGAUAAAUACCUGGUUUAUAAAAAAGUUUUAAUCUGACCUACAAUAUUUUAUAUUUUGGAUUUAUUUUUUUGAGAAUUUAAUGAAAUUGUAAAAGACAGUAAAUUAAUUUUAAUAUUUAAUUGAAGUUUAUCUAGAGACGGUACAAAUCAU
This 461-nucleotide ribosomal RNA is filed under the name Steinernema websteri. RNAcentral's name for it is "partial 12S ribosomal RNA". Lineage: Eukaryota; Metazoa; Nematoda; Chromadorea; Rhabditida; Steinernematidae. The record is from RNAcentral.